CAAAAUCCUCACAAAAUCUCAACAAGAUCCUCACAAGAUCUUGCAAGAUCUCAAACUCUCUGCCCAUACCCCCUCCUUUCUUUCUACACUCACACAAACCCCAAAAACCAAUGCCUGCCUUCCCCUUCUCUCUCGAUAUAAACAUCAGACAACACACACAACAAUGGAGAUCAGACUUCAACUUCAUCACAUGACAAAAACCCACCCCUGCUCUCUUCUCCCUCUCGUUCUCUAGCCGACAGCCAGAGUAAAUACGACCGGUGUCGGCCACGUUCCAGCUAACCACCACAAACACCACCCUCCUCCUCCCUGUCGCACACCUACACACCUGUUGUCUUCGAUCAGUGAAACGACCGGCCACCACUACCGUCUGGUGGUGCCGCGACGCUAAACGGAGAGGAGAGAGACGGAGUCGGAGGUGCAGCGCCGCCGCCGUCAAACGGCGGGGGGUGUCGAUGAUGAUGGUGGUGCUUAGCUGGUAGCGGCGACCAUUUGGUUCAUGGUUUCGGGUGCGGUUUUCCGGUGACGGAGAUGGCACGGCGGAUGGGGGGUGUUAUCGGUAUAAUUAGCAGCGACAGUGAAGGUGAAGCUUGGUUUCGGGUCAGAAAUUGGUCCGAGUUGGGUUUGUUUCGAGUCACGACACAACGGGUCUAGGGUCGGUCAGUUUGGUCACUCAGCUUCGGGCUUGGUAUGGUUCAACAGACCUAAGGUUCAGAUGCAGUUCAGUCAACGGGCUAUAUUUCGGCGUUCGGGUCAAGGGUUGGUUCAACUUAGUUUGACUCGGUCAACCCGAGUCAACUCAGCCAACGGCAGUCAGCGGUUCGGUCAUCUGGUCAACACAGUGAGUUGACUUGGUCAACU
Molecule: long non-coding RNA, 861 nt
Filed under: Helianthus annuus (common sunflower)
Lineage: Eukaryota; Viridiplantae; Streptophyta; Magnoliopsida; Asterales; Asteraceae
Description: hypothetical non coding rna
Source: RNAcentral